Molecule: long non-coding RNA, 3706 nt
Filed under: Olea europaea (common olive)
Lineage: Eukaryota; Viridiplantae; Streptophyta; Magnoliopsida; Lamiales; Oleaceae
Description: long non-coding RNA (OEUR_LNC000375)
Source: RNAcentral
GAAGAUAUGGUUCACCUAACCCCACCACCUAAUGUUGUGAGUUGAUGGGAGUGAGGUUGACACAAUAAGGUCUUCCCUUCCUUUGGCAGAGGCAUGGUCUUACUUCCUACCCCUUCAUUAUGUACACUCUACCAUUUUAUAUAAAAUAUGGGGGCAGCUCUCGUUUUUAAUUCCCAGCAGCAGCAGCAGAAAGAGGAGCUCUCGGUCUCUUUCAUUCCAGCAGAAAGGUGGAGCUCUCGUUUUAGCAAAAGGGUGGUGGUUCUUCAUUGGUUUUCCCCUCUCUCUUUGGAAGGCAAUUGGCAUAGCAUGGAGGUUGUUCCUGAGCCUGAAAAAACACCCAUAAAAGGAAGAAGAAGCUGCUGAAACGAAGAAGAAGAAGCUGGACAGAUUUCUGAACAAAAAGGGUUGUAUUUUUCCAUUCCCGUUUUUCUUUGUUUUUGCCUUGAAUCUGGUUUUGUUGAUUGUUUGUUUUGGUUGAUUGAACUCCUAGGAUCCCCAACAAGGUGCAACUGAACCAGGCCAUACUGGGGCGGAGUAUGUCGGAGCCGAGUAUUCUACGGCAGCAAGAGGCACGACAGGCGGUGGCAAAGCCAGUGCAGCAGUGGCGCCGCCGGGGGACUGAUUUACUAAAGAAGUUGCUGAAACCAAUUCUGGGGAAAAAGAGUGCCAAAAAUGAUGACAGGACAGAUUGAAAGAUUUGGAAAACAUUGAGCAGAUCCUUGAGGCUUUGAAUUUUGAAAUAUUAAAUAAUAAUUUUGUUUACAUUUAUCUGUUGCAAUUUAUAUGCGUACAAACAGAAGGAACUUGGAUUACUAAGAUUAUUGACUUCACUUUCUUUUCAUAAUUUUCCUUCUCAUUCAAUUUAACUUCUUUGAAAUCAUCUUUGAUGAUGCUCGUGUUGUUAAUUCGAAACUUGGAUGAUUAGUGCCAAUUAUGAAUUAUACAACAAGAAGAUGGGUUUCAAAAUUUUCUAUUGAGAGGUAAGCAUAAGAGGUAAUGGACGGUUGAAAUCUCAAAUAAGGUGGUUAUAAGAUAUAACAAGUGGUCAGGACAAUUCAAUGGCUGUAUGAAGUUUUUUUAAUGGGUUUUGGUCUAGGGUUUAUAUAAAUGGUAACAUUUGUGACAUCUAAUAAAACUUGUGGUCUACAAAUUAAAAGUCACAUGCUACACAUUUUAUGAGCCAGUGUCACAUAUUAAGACACAAAUCACGUAAAGUCACAAUCACAUACCACACAAUUUAUAAGUUACAAUCAUAUAUUAAGUCAAAAAUCAAAUAAUUAAUAGGUUAUAAUUUAUUUAUUAAUCACAAAUCAUACAAUUAAUUGGUCACAGUCAAAGUACCGAGAAGAUCCAAAGAGAUUUAAACUUUUUCAUUCUCCCUUGUCGAAAGACACUGGUCGGAUGAGGAGAAGAGUAAAGACAAAGAUUGCACAAGUCCUAUUUGAAUAUGAAUAUUAGUAAGACAAAGGACGUGUUUUGUUAAGCUUAAAAUAUGGGUAAUUACUAAUUAGCACUUGGUUUUUGAAAAAACCUAAAAUAAAUAAUAAUAACUAGUUCCUAAAUUUUUUUGAACGGAUGAUUGUUGCCAAGCUACCAAACAUUUCAUUUAGUGAUUUUUAAGAAAAAUGUGCAGUGAAAAAGUAGAGAAAAAUUUUGAGUUUACGACUUUACAUGCAAAAUAUUUAAUUGUAUCAAUGUGUGAAUGAAAAUGAAUACGUUAAAAAUUGUUUUCAAAUAAUUGUUGUCAAACGGGCUAAAUUGUACUAUGAAAAAAUGAGAAUAAAUUUCCCUUUCAUGCAUACACAAAUUAUUUAUCGACGGUAAAACAUGGAUGGCGAAGGAUAGGGUCCAUAGGGAAUUACAUUUUGGCAAGGAGUCCCCCGAAAUCUGCAAUUCACAACCAAUUUACCUUGUAGAAAGAUUCAAAACAUAUCUCAUAUGAUAAUUGACAGUAAUUUUUUAUUUUUUUAAGAUAGUUAGAAUCGAAAAUACUGUAUUUAAUUCAGACUUUUAUCGACUUAUUUCAAGUGACGAAUUUUCGUGGAAUUCGUGAAUUUUGUUGACUCAUAAAUUUAUUGCGAAUUAAUGAAAUGUCCACUAGCCAAUUUUUUCCCACUUGUUUUGACUUUUUUUGGGUUGGCACUAUUUAUGAGAUAAUGAGAAAAUCAAUGCUGAUUAGUUUUUUUCUAAUAAAAUUACGAAAGCUUGAAAAUAAUGGAUAUAAAUUAUAAGAAUAAUGUUACUUUUAUAUAAAAAGUUACAUAAUGAUUUAAAUACAAAUGAUGUGUCAAAAAAGAGAUUGAAGAAGGUUUUGUUUUUAAUUAUGUGAUUGAAAAUUUUUUGACACAAUCAUAUCACACAACAUUAUGUAUAUGUAAAUCAUUAUAUAAAUCAUUAUGUACAUAUAAAACAAUCGAAAUUAUAAAGACACAAAAUUUUAGGUAAUAAGUAAACAAUUAUCUGAAUUAUAAUUUUUAUUUUUUUUUGUUGAGCAUUGAUUUUUUAUAUAGUUUGAAAAUUAAAUUUUUCAAAUAUUUAAAAAAUCAAACUUGGAAUGAAAUUAAUAAUUCAACAACCAAUCCAAGGAUUUUUUUUUUUUUUAAUCCUUCCCAAGAAAUUGCAUUUUAUAAAAUGAAAUUGCUAACUUAACUUUUUUUUCAUCGUUCCCAAGAAAUUGCUUUUUAUGCAGGGACAUAAGCAAUGAAAUUGCUUUUUAUCUAAAGAAGUUUUUCUUUUUUAUUUGGUUGAAGAAAUUUCAACCCAAUCAUAUCACAUUACAUUAUGUUUAUAUAAACCAUUAUAUAAAUCAUUAUAUACAUGUAGAACAUUGAAAUUAUAAAGAUAUGAAAUUUUGGGUAAUAAUAAGUAACCGAUUAUCUGAAUUAUAAUUUUUUUUGGGUUGAAUGCAUUAAUUUUAUGAAGUUCGAAAAUUAAAUUUAUUUCAAAUAUCUAAAGAAUCAAACUUGGAUGAAAUUAAUAAUUCAACAACCUAAUAAUAAGUAACCAAUUAUCUAAAUUAUAUAUAUAUACAAAAAUUCUGAGUGUACAGAAUUUUAAGUUUACAGAAUGUGUACAGAGUGUCACAAACGAUGGACCCCACAUGAAUAUUUUAUUGCAAAAAAAAAUCACCCAACCCCUUGAUGUGUGUAUUCUGUACAACAUCUGUACACUUAAAUUUCUGUACUUGUAGACUAACUCAUAUAUAUAUAUAUUUGGUUGAAUGCAUUGAUUUUAUGAAGUUCGAAAAUUAAAUUUAUUUCAAAUAUCUAAAGAAUCAAACUUGAAAUGAAAUUAAUAAUUCAACAACCUAAUAAUAAGUAACUGAUUAUCUGAAUUAUAAUUUCUUUUUUUUUUAGUUGAAUGCAUUAAUUUUAUGAAGUUCGAAAAUUAAUUUAUUUCAAAUAUCUAAAGAAUCAAACUUGGAAUGAAAUUAAUAAUUCAACCACCAAUCCAAGGAUUUUUUUUAUACUUCCCAAGAAAUUGUUUUUUAUCUCUGUCAUAAAUUCAUUGCAUUUAUUAUUUGCAGCCUUAUAUAUAUUGAUGCAAUUAGAGAUGAAGAAUUUGGUUGCAGAAAUGGGAGGAGUGGAAGAUAUGGCAGUAAUAUUGAAAAGGUUUGGAGAUGAACAAAGCACAUUAUUGGACCGGUAUGAGAGGCUCUCCUUUGAGGUGCAACUGAACCAGGCCAUACUGGGGCGGAGUAUGUCGG